UACAGAGGGUGCGAGCGUUGUUCGGAAUUAUUGGGCGUAAAGGGCGCGUAGGCGGUGCGGUAAGUCACCUGUGAAAUCUCCUGGCUCAACUGGGAGCUUGCAGGCGAAACUGCCGUGCUGGAGUGUGGGAGAGGUGCGUGGAAUUCCUGGUGUAGCGGUGAAAUGCGUAGAUAUCAGGAGGAACACCUGUGGCGAAAGCGGCGCACUGGACCACAUCUGACGCUGAGGCGCGAAAGCUAGGGGAGCAAACAGG
This 253-nucleotide ribosomal RNA is filed under the name uncultured bacterium. Its description in RNAcentral is "partial 16S ribosomal RNA". It matches the Rfam family "Bacterial small subunit ribosomal RNA", at positions 524 to 776 of the family's 1533-position model. The record is from RNAcentral.